RNAcentral lists this ribosomal RNA (586 nucleotides) under uncultured bacterium. RNAcentral's name for it is "partial 16S ribosomal RNA". It matches the Rfam family "Bacterial small subunit ribosomal RNA", at positions 355 to 1375 of the family's 1533-position model. The record is from RNAcentral.
UGGGGAAUUUUGGACAAUGGGCGAAAGCCUGAUCCAGCAAUGCCGCGUGUGUGAAGAAGGCCUUCGGGUUGUAAAGCACUUUUGUCCGGAAAGAAAUCCUUGGCUCUAAUACAGUCGGGGGAUGACGGUACCGGAAGAAUAAGCACCGGCUAACUACGUGCCAGCAGCCGCGGUAAUACGUAGGGUGCAAGCGUUAAUCGGAAUUACUGGGCGUAAAGCGUGCGCAGGCGGUUUGCUAAGACCGAUGUGAAAUCCCCGGGCUCAACCUGGGAACUGCAUUGGUGACUGGCAGGCUAGAGUAUGGCAGAGGGGGGUAGAAUUCCACGUGUAGCAGUGAAAUGCGUAGAGAUGUGGAGGAAUACCGAUGGCGAAGGCAGCCCCCUGGGCCAAUACUGACGCUCAUGCACGAAAGCGUGGGGAGCAAACAGGAUUAGAUACCCUGAUAGUCCACGCCCUAAAACGAUGUCAACUAGUUGUUGGGGAUUCAUUUCCUUAGUAACGUAGCUAACGCGUGAAGUUGACCGCCUGGGGAGUACGGUCGCAAGAUUAAAACUCAAAUGAAUUGACGGGGUCAUAGCUGUUUCCU